AGUGAACGCUGGCGGUAGGCCUAACACAUGCAAGUCGAACGGCAGCACAGUAAGAGCUUGCUCUUACGGGUGGCGAGUAGCGGACGGGUGAGGAAUACAUCGGAAUCUACUUUUUCGUGGGGGAUAACGUAGGGAAACUUACGCUAAUACCGCAUACGACCUACGGGUGAAAGCAUGGGAUCUUCGGACCUUGCGCGAUUGAAUGAGCCGAUGUCGGAUUAGCUAGUUGGCGGGGUAAAGGCCCACCAAGGCGACGAUCCGUAGCUGGUCUGAGAGGAUGAUCAGGCACACUGGAACUGAGACACGGUCCAGAACCCUACGGGAGGCAGCAGUGGGGAAUAUUGGACAAAGGGCGGAAGCCUGAUCCAGCCAUACCGCGUGGGUGAAGAAGGCCUUCGGGUUGUAAAGCCCUUUUGUUGGGAAAGAAAAGCAGCAGGUUAAUACCCCGCUGUUCUGACGGUACCCAAAGAAUAAGCACCGGCUAACUUCGUG
Molecule: ribosomal RNA, 492 nt
Filed under: uncultured bacterium
Lineage: Bacteria
Description: partial 16S ribosomal RNA
Rfam family: Bacterial small subunit ribosomal RNA
Source: RNAcentral